AUUGAACGCUGGCGGCAUGCCUUACACAUGCAAGUCGAACGGCAGCACGGGUGCUUGCCCCUGGUGGCGAGUGGCGAACGGGUGAGUAAUACAUCGGAACAUGUCCUUUAGUGGGGGAUAGCCCGGCGAAAGCCGGAUUAAUACCGCAUACGAUCUACGGAUGAAAGCGGGGGACCUUCGGGCCUCGCGCUAUAGGGUUGGCCGAUGGCUGAUUAGCUAGUUGGUGGGGUAAAGGCCUACCAAGGCGACGAUCAGUAGCUGGUCUGAGAGGACGACCAGCCACACUGGGACUGAGACACGGCCCAGACUCCUACGGGAGGCAGCAGUGGGGAAUUUUGGACAAUGGGCGAAAGCCUGAUCCAGCAAUGCCGCGUGUGUGAAGAAGGCCUUCGGGUUGUAAAGCACUUUUGUCCGGAAAGAAAUCCUUGGCUCUAAUACAGUCGGGGGAUGACGGUACCGGAAGAAUAAGCACCGGCUAACUACGUG
This 486-nucleotide ribosomal RNA is filed under the name uncultured bacterium. RNAcentral describes it as "partial 16S ribosomal RNA". It matches the Rfam family "Bacterial small subunit ribosomal RNA", at positions 30 to 507 of the family's 1533-position model. The record is from RNAcentral.